RNAcentral lists this ribosomal RNA (33 nucleotides) under Hylotelephium pseudospectabile. Its description in RNAcentral is "partial 28S ribosomal RNA". Lineage: Eukaryota; Viridiplantae; Streptophyta; Magnoliopsida; Saxifragales; Crassulaceae. The record is from RNAcentral.
GCAUCGCGACCCCAGGUCAGGCGGGACUACCCC